RNAcentral lists this ribosomal RNA (253 nucleotides) under uncultured bacterium. RNAcentral describes it as "partial 16S ribosomal RNA". It matches the Rfam family "Bacterial small subunit ribosomal RNA", at positions 524 to 776 of the family's 1533-position model. The record is from RNAcentral.
GACAGAGGGUGCAAACGUUGUUCGGAAUUACUGGGCGUAAAGGGCUCGUAGGCGGCCAACUAAGUCGGAUGUGAAAUCCCCAGGCUCAACCUGGGAACUGCAUCCGAUACUGGAUGGCUUGAAUCCGGGAGAGGGAUGCAGAAUUCCAGGUGUAGCGGUGAAAUGCGUAGAUAUCUGGAGGAAUACCGGUGGCGAAGGCGGCAUCCUGGACCGGCAUUGACGCUGAGGAGCGAAAGCUAGGGGAGCAAACGGG